ACUUUUUAAAGGGGCCUUUUCACAGAUUUUGGCAUUUUUUAACUUAUUCAUUAAAUGCUUUAUAUCGAUAAAUGUAAACAUUGGAUCGUAAAAGCUCCAGUAAAAAAUCAAGAAUAAAAUUUAAAAAAGGAAAAGAACAUUGCCCGGACCAGGUUUCGAACCAGUGACCCCUGGAGUCCUGCCAGAGUCCUGAAGUAAAAACGCUUUAGCCUACUGAGCUAUUCCGCCGAUUACACAUACGUGAAGUAUUUUAUACCUUAUAUAAGCAAUCUUCGUAGUUUCACAAAAUUUAACGACAAAAACAGAACUCUCCAAAUUAUUCAAUCGUUUCGCGUUGCAACGCUUUAUAAUUUUUAGGUUUUAAAAUCGUCAAAAGAUGCAUAUAAUGGCUAUAUUAGACCAUGGUAAAUGUUCAGUAUUACUGUUUCCUCACAAAUAUCAUAACUAAAACGAAAAUGUGUGAAUCUGAAACAACUUUUUUCAAUUUUGUCAAUUUACCAAAGCGUGAAAAGAUCCCUUGAAUGGCUAUAGCUAAUAUGAAUAUU
Dreissena polymorpha is the source of this 545-nucleotide long non-coding RNA. RefSeq lists it as uncharacterized. Lineage: Eukaryota; Metazoa; Mollusca; Bivalvia; Myida; Dreissenidae. The transcript is spliced from 2 exons. The record is from RefSeq and is a predicted model, not a curated record.